CCGCGGCCUGGCCCCGGCCCCGAUGUGCCGGAGCGGGAGGCGCGGGACCCCGACGAGCUGCACUCUUUCAGCCGGUGAGACGACGACGAGGACGAGGGGCCGGAGCGGCCGCUGCCGGAGCGGUACAUGAUGGCGCCGGCGGCCCGGGGGUCCCUGCGGCCUGCGCGGGCGCCCCGGCUCCUCUGACCCUGCCCCCCCCCGUAACCCCGACUGACCCCCCGCACCCCCCGCGCGUGCGCGCCGCCGGCCGCCCUGCGCGCGCUCCCGAGCCAGACACCGGCGGGGGGGGCGGGGGGAGGCGGGGUAAGCCCGGGCCGCGCAGGGGGCGGGCGGCGGGAGGCGUUGCCGGGGGACGCCCGCACAAAAUGGCAGCCGCCGAGCGCCGGUCACGUGUGGCGGGCGGGCUGCGGACCGGCGGGAGGCGGGAGCUCGGGGGGUGCGCCGCUCCCUCACUGCCCGCUCCCGGUCCCCACUGCCCGUGGGGGGGACGCGCUCCCCGCGCUCGGGCGGCUGCUCCAUCCUGCUUGAGUGUCCCGCGGGGCUUCCCGCCGCGCCGCCUCUCCGGGACAUCCCGGGUGAUGGAGCUUCACCGGGGAGCUGCGGGGGCUGCGGGGAGGCGCUGAGGGGUGGAUCUCGGUCGGGCCUUGCCACAGGGCGAUGAUAGCAGCCCUCCAGGUUAAGCCAAAAGCAAAAGGGCUUUCGAGGUGGUUUUUGUUUUGCUUGCAGUGUGCUGUGGAACCUGCCGGCAUGGGUGGUGGCCUUAGGCAGCAGUGUGUUAGCGAACAGUCCUUGGCUGCUCGAUGAGGCGGUGCUGAGCCUGAGCUUCCAGCUCAUAAGGUUUCUGAACAGGUUUCCUUGCCGUGGCUGCCAUGAGCUGGGAUGAUGUGACAGGGGAGGGAUCGCUUCGUGCCUCCUCCCUCUCAGCUGAGCACCGGCUAGUGCAGGCAAGAGGUCUACAGAGAUGUCCUUGUGGUUUCUGGUGAUAGAUUCAGUGGCAUUUUCAAGGUGAAGGAAUCCAGAUACCAGUAACUAAUGACUGAUCAUUAAAACAUCUGUACACCAAUAAUGCUGUCUGGAGCAAAGAGGGAUCUGUGGCUUCUGAAAGCUGUCCAUCUUUCAGCUGGAGUGGAAAAGUUCAUGCCUUUCAACAAGAAGAGCUUAGGAGAGAUGAGCAAGCAGAAUGCAGUACGUGGAAAAGGAGAACACUAGAAUGCAAUGUAGCUGAAAUAGAAAAGCUCCGAGAGUGAUAAGCUUAAUAGAGAGAAGGAUGGUCUUUGUCCUGAUAUCUGAGGACUUCUCUCAGUGAGGGGAAGUGGGUGUUUGGUUGGGGUUUUCUGGUUUGUUUUGGUGGGGUUUUUUGUUUGGGGUUUUUUCAUUUGGAAAGGAAUAAGACUUCAGAACCAUGAAA
Molecule: long non-coding RNA, 1408 nt
Organism: Strigops habroptila (Kakapo)
Lineage: Eukaryota; Metazoa; Chordata; Aves; Psittaciformes; Psittacidae
Exons: 3
Source: RefSeq, a predicted model, not a curated record